CAUAAUCGAACGGCUUUAAUACACUUAUUCACAGAAAGAAAGAAAAAAAAAUGUGUUUCUAUGUCGAAAUAUUCUUGGAAAACAUUACUCUUAUCAAAUGGUGAAUCGAGAUGUAAUUUCGCUGAAUACAAUUUUCCAAGAACGUCAAUUUCGUAUGUGACCCCUUUCAAAUAAUCAGCAUCGAUUGCUUUUCUAUCGGUGCGUCGAAUGUACGCUUUGCCAAUGGGUUUAUUGAUGUAAUAUCCGAACUCAGCUCUUCUCAAAUGACCAGCCGCUUCUCGAUUGCGAUAAACUCCUUCCAGCCCCCACAAUGGAAUUUCCUCAUCCAGUGUCAGAUUCUAAAUUUGCUUCAAUUGGAGUGUCAUCAGAUCGUAAAUCAUAUUCCCAUCGAUGAGCACCUAAUAGUAAUGCUCAUCAUUAUUGAUACCUUUUUCACAAUUCAAUGCAUAAAAAGCACGGAAACCAGCAUCCAUGAUAAAUCUGACGAGGCAAACUUCAAUUUUGAGUCGAUUUAUAUGGAAAAUCAAUCAUUUUACAGAUUUAUGUUAUCGAAUCGAAACAGAG
This is a long non-coding RNA of Contarinia nasturtii (swede midge), 564 nucleotides long. RefSeq lists it as uncharacterized. Lineage: Eukaryota; Metazoa; Arthropoda; Insecta; Diptera; Cecidomyiidae. The transcript has 3 exons. The record is from RefSeq and is a predicted model, not a curated record.